This 460-nucleotide ribosomal RNA is filed under the name uncultured bacterium. RNAcentral describes it as "partial 16S ribosomal RNA". It matches the Rfam family "Bacterial small subunit ribosomal RNA", at positions 338 to 795 of the family's 1533-position model. The record is from RNAcentral.
CCUACGGGAGGCAGCAGUGAGGAAUAUUGGUCAAUGGACGCAAGUCUGAACCAGCCAUGCCGCGUGCAGGAAGACGGCUCUAUGAGUUGUAAACUGCUUUUGUACGAGGGUAAACGCAGAUACGCGUAUCUGUCUGAAAGUAUCUUACGAAUAAGGAUCGGCUAACUCCGUGCCAGCAGCCGCGGUAAUACGGAGGAUUCAAGCGUUAUCCGGAUUUAUUGGGUUUAAAGGGUGCGUAGGCGGUCGGAUAAGUUAGAGGUGAAAGCCCGAGGCUCAACUUCGGAAUUGCCUUUGAUACUGGUCGGCUAGAGAGCAGUUGCGGUAGGCGGAAUGCAUGGUGUAGCGGUGAAAUGCUUAGAGAUCAUACAGAACACCGAUUGCGAAGGCAGCUUACCAAGCUACUACUGACGUUGAUGCACGAAAGCGUGGGGAGCAAACAGGAUUAGAUACCCGUGUAGUC